RNAcentral lists this microRNA precursor (76 nucleotides) under Tupaia belangeri (northern tree shrew). Its description in RNAcentral is "miRNA (ENSTBEG00000019840.1)". Lineage: Eukaryota; Metazoa; Chordata; Mammalia; Scandentia; Tupaiidae. The record is from RNAcentral.
GCACCCGAGGGCUGUGUGUGUGUGUGUGUGUGUGUGUGUGUGUGUGUGGCGUGUGUCCUGCACUGCUACACCCACA